GAAUAAUUAAGAUUAAUGGGAUGUGGGCAGCCUCUCUUCCAAAUGAAGAAGGCAAACAAUUAUCAAGGUGUAGAAGCAAAUUGUAGAAAUCUUUCUAAAAUCAUUUAAGUAUCAAAGUUUAAUACAUUAUAAGCAUAUGAAAAUUAAUAGCAUUUGUUUGUUGCUGUUCAAUUAAGGGUAAACUUUUGUUGUCUAAUAAUGCUUCCAAGUCUUGGGACUAUGGCAUUACUCCCCAGUACCAGUAUAGCUGUCAUGCACCUUAUGAGUAUACCAUUAUGCCAUAACAUAGACCCU
Molecule: unclassified non-coding RNA, 294 nt
Filed under: Hevea brasiliensis (rubber tree)
Lineage: Eukaryota; Viridiplantae; Streptophyta; Magnoliopsida; Malpighiales; Euphorbiaceae
Source: RNAcentral